UUUUGGUUUGAUUUUAAGCAAAUUAGUACCAAAUGAUGCAAAACUGUCACACGUUAGUUUUUUUAAUUGGUUGAUUUUUUUUGUAUAUCAAACUGGAUGUAAUACUAGUAGACCAAAACAAGAAAAUAACCGUUCACAUGCUAAUAAAAGAGCUUAUUAUUCAAUGGUUACCGUUUGUUAUCGUACAUCAUAUUUGUAUUUCGUUCAUUGUUAAAUCAGGCCGUACG
This 227-nucleotide long non-coding RNA is filed under the name Mytilus galloprovincialis (Mediterranean mussel). The record is from RNAcentral. Lineage: Eukaryota; Metazoa; Mollusca; Bivalvia; Mytilida; Mytilidae.